UACGGGGGGAGCAAGCGUUGUUCGGAUUUACUGGGCGUAAAGGGCGCGUAGGCGGCCAGCACAAGUCAGUUGUGAAAUCUCCGAGCUUAACUCGGAAAGGUCAACUGAUACUGUGCGGCUAGAGUGCGGAAGGGGCAACUGGAAUUCUUGGUGUAGCGGUGAAAUGCGUAGAUAUCAGAAGGAACGCCGGUGGCGAAAGCGACUCUCUGGCCCGUAUCUGACGCUGAGGCGCGAAAGCUUGGGUAGCAAACGGG
Molecule: ribosomal RNA, 254 nt
Filed under: uncultured bacterium
Lineage: Bacteria
Description: partial 16S ribosomal RNA
Rfam family: Bacterial small subunit ribosomal RNA
Source: RNAcentral